This is a transfer RNA of Grosmannia clavigera kw1407, 72 nucleotides long. It matches the Rfam family "tRNA". Rfam says of the family: Transfer RNA (tRNA) molecules are approximately 80 nucleotides in length. Their secondary structure includes four short double-helical elements and three loops (D, anti-codon, and T loops). The record is from Rfam. Lineage: Eukaryota; Fungi; Ascomycota; Sordariomycetes; Ophiostomatales; Ophiostomataceae.
GCCCGUAUAGCUCAGUGGUAGAGCGCAGCACUCGUAAUGCUGAGGUCCACGGUUCGAUCCCGUGUGUGGGCA